GGGAAAGUCGUGCCAGGAGCCUCGGUAAUACAGGGGGUGCGAGCGUUAAUCGGAUUUACUGGGCGUAAAGCGCGCGUAGGUGGUUAAUUAAGUCAAAUGUGAAAUCCCCGAGCUUAACUUGGGAAUUGCAUUCGAUACUGGUUAGCUAGAGUAUGGGAGAGGAUGGUAGAAUUCCAGGUGUAGCGGUGAAAUGCGUAGAGAUCUGGAGGAAUACCGAUGGCGAAGGCAGCCAUCUGGCCUAAUACUGACACUGAGGUGCGAAAGCAUGGGGAGCAAACAGGAUUAGAUACCCGAGUAGUC
This 300-nucleotide ribosomal RNA is filed under the name uncultured Lactobacillus sp. RNAcentral describes it as "bacterial SSU rRNA". It matches the Rfam family "Bacterial small subunit ribosomal RNA", at positions 495 to 795 of the family's 1533-position model. The record is from RNAcentral. Lineage: Bacteria; Bacillati; Bacillota; Bacilli; Lactobacillales; Lactobacillaceae.